CCUACGGGGGGCAGCAGUGAGGAAUAUUGGUCAAUGGCCGGAAGGCUGAACCAGCCAAGCCGCGUGAAGGACGAAGGUGCCAAGCAUUGUAAACUUCUUUUGUCAAGGGACACAAUCAGGCUCGAGAGCCUGACCGAGGGUACUUGAAGAAAAAGCAUCGGCUAACUCCGUGCCAGCAGCCGCGGUAAUACGGGGGAUGCGAGCGUUAUCCGGAUUUAUUGGGUUUAAAGGGUGCGUAGGCUGGCUGUUAAGUCAGCGGUAAAAGCCCGGGGCUCAACCCCGGCGAGCCUUUGAAACUGGGUGUCUUGAGAUGUCGAGAGGUAUGCGGAAUGCGCAGUGAAGCGGUGAAAUGCGUAGAUAUAGCGCAGAACUCCGAUGGCGAAGGCAGCAUACCGGCGGCGAUCUGACGCUGAGGCACGAAAGCGUGGGUAGCGAACAGGAUUAGAUACCCGUGUAGUC
RNAcentral lists this ribosomal RNA (459 nucleotides) under uncultured bacterium. RNAcentral describes it as "partial 16S ribosomal RNA". It matches the Rfam family "Bacterial small subunit ribosomal RNA", at positions 338 to 795 of the family's 1533-position model. The record is from RNAcentral.